AAAAAGGAAGCAUUGUCCAAUUUGAAUUUUUGAUGCAUAGGAGUAGAAACAUAUGAAGCUAUUGCUGAUUCUCUUUUUAUUGGUUUUGGUGAUCGAGCUGAAACUGCAUAUGGUGAUAGUGGGAUGAAGACUGAAGGUGGAGCAUUUGGGGUGAAACGUGGUAGCUCAGAGGGGGGCUUUGCUGCUUCAUAUGGGGAUGGAUAUGGACUUCAUUCGGGUGCUGUUAACAAAGGUCCUCUAUAUGGCAUGUGUUAUGGUUCUUGGGGUGCAUUUGAGAAGUCUCGCCUCGGGCAUCGCUGAAAUCCAUUGCUUUUUUUUUUUCCUCUUAUUUUUCCUUGUGUCUCAAUCUGUAAAUUUUCUAUCCAUUAUAUAACCUUUCAUUCUCAGGUUGCCUAUAAAUGGGGCUGGUUGUGAAUGAUUUACAGGUUGUGUUUGAAUACUAAUUUAAGCCUGUAAAGAUCUUCUGAUCUAGAA
This is a long non-coding RNA of Magnolia sinica, 474 nucleotides long. RefSeq lists it as uncharacterized. The record is from RefSeq and is a predicted model, not a curated record. Lineage: Eukaryota; Viridiplantae; Streptophyta; Magnoliopsida; Magnoliales; Magnoliaceae. The transcript is spliced from 3 exons.